Non-coding RNA from Cinara cedri, 299 nucleotides. Lineage: Eukaryota; Metazoa; Arthropoda; Insecta; Hemiptera; Aphididae. The record is from the annotation of a GenBank genome assembly.
UCAACACGGUUAUUCGAAAUAUCGUAGAAAUUGUCCAGCUUCCGCUUCGGAAAAUUUGACGAUUGACUACAAAAAGUUCUCGCGUCCAUAUUUUAUGCGGUUCUUUAACCUGACCGCUAGUUUUUUCUGUUGUUCCUCCGGGUCCAAUGAUUUAUAGCACGUCGUGAUCUUGUCAAACUUGAAUUGUACUAGACAGCUUGCCCUUUGUUUUGUUUUCCGACGUUCUCUCCCCACCGACAUUUGCGAAAUUUGCUCACGUUUCUUCAAGUUUCUCCGCGUCAGUAAUCGACUGGAACAGG